This 253-nucleotide ribosomal RNA is filed under the name uncultured bacterium. Its description in RNAcentral is "partial 16S ribosomal RNA". It matches the Rfam family "Bacterial small subunit ribosomal RNA", at positions 524 to 776 of the family's 1533-position model. The record is from RNAcentral.
UACGAAGGGGGCUAGCGUUGUUCGGAAUUACUGGGCGUAAAGCGCACGUAGGCGGUCUUUUAAGUCGGGGGUGAAAUCCUGGAGCUCAACUCCAGAACUGCCUUCGAUACUGGAAGACUCGAGUUCGGGAGAGGUGAGUGGAACUGCGAGUGUAGAGGUGAAAUUCGUAGAUAUUCGCAAGAACACCAGUGGCGAAGGCGGCUCACUGGCCCGGUACUGACGCUGAGGUGCGAAAGCGUGGGGAGCAAACAGG